RNAcentral lists this ribosomal RNA (198 nucleotides) under Triticum aestivum (bread wheat). RNAcentral describes it as "partial small subunit ribosomal RNA". Lineage: Eukaryota; Viridiplantae; Streptophyta; Magnoliopsida; Poales; Poaceae. The record is from RNAcentral.
AUGAAGCAAUGUGGGCUUGUGGACAUGGGGUUCAGUGGUCCUGCGUCUACUUAGAGAAACACACGUUUUUCUUCAAUUCAUGUCUUUGAAGAUAGAUGUUUAGCUAAUGCUAAGUGGUGCAAUCUUUUUCCUAAUACAAAUGUUUUCAAUCUUCCUAUAAUUUUAAGUGACCGUGCUCCUAUUUUAGUGUUGAGGUGA